GAACUGCGAUAAGUAAUGUGAAUUGCAGAAUUCAGUGAAUCAUCGAGUCUUUGAACGCACAUUGCGCCCCCUGGCAUUCCGGGGGGCAUGCCUGCCCGAGCGUCAUUGCUGCCCUUCAAGCCCGGCUUGUGUGUUGGGUCGUCGUCCCCUCCGGGGGACGGGCCCGAAAGGCAGCGGCGGCACCGCGUCCGGUCCUCGAGCGUAUGGGGCUUUGUCACCCGCUCGAUAAGGACCGGCCGGGCGCCAGCCGGCGUCUCCAACCUUUUUUUCUCAGGUUGACCUCGGAUCAGGUAGGGAUACCCGCUGAACUUAAGC
This 315-nucleotide unclassified non-coding RNA is filed under the name plant metagenome. RNAcentral's name for it is "partial contains 5.8S ribosomal RNA, internal transcribed spacer 2, and large subunit ribosomal RNA". The stretch from base 1 to 105 matches the Rfam family "5.8S ribosomal RNA", at positions 50 to 154 of the family's 154-position model. The record is from RNAcentral.